UGCCUAAUACAUGCAAGUCGAGCGAAUGGAUUAAGAGCUUGCUCUUAUGAAGUUAGCGGCGGACGGGUGAGUAACACGUGGGUAACCUGCCCAUAAGACUGGGAUAACUCCGGGAAACCGGGGCUAAUACCGGAUAACAUUUUGAACCGCAUGGUUCGAAAUUGAAAGGCGGCUUCGGCUGUCACUUAUGGAUGGACCCGCGUCGCAUUAGCUAGUUGGUGAGGUAACGGCUCACCAAGGCAACGAUGCGUAGCCGACCUGAGAGGGUGAUCGGCCACACUGGGACUGAGACACGGCCCAGACUCCUACGGGAGGCAGCAGUAGGGAAUCUUCCGCAAUGGACGAAAGUCUGACGGAGCAACGCCGCGUGAGUGAUGAAGGCUUUCGGGUCGUAAAACUCUGUUGUUAGGGAAGAACAAGUGCUAGUUGAAUAAGCUGGCACCUUGACGGUACCUAACCAGAAAGCCACGGCUAACUACGUGCCAGCAGCCGCGGUAAUACGUAGGUGGCAAGCGUUAUCCGGAAUUAUUGGGCGUAAAGCGCGCGCAGGUGGUUUCUUAAGUCUGAUGUGAAAGCCCACGGCUCAACCGUGGAGGGUCAUUGGAAACUGGGAGACUUGAGUGCAGAAGAGGAAAGUGGAAUUCCAUGUGUAGCGGUGAAAUGCGUAGAGAUAUGGAGGAACACCAGUGGCGAAGGCGACUUUCUGGUCUGUAACU
Molecule: ribosomal RNA, 716 nt
Filed under: Bacillus cereus
Lineage: Bacteria; Bacillati; Bacillota; Bacilli; Caryophanales; Bacillaceae
Description: bacterial SSU rRNA
Rfam family: Bacterial small subunit ribosomal RNA
Source: RNAcentral